RNAcentral lists this ribosomal RNA (253 nucleotides) under uncultured bacterium. RNAcentral describes it as "partial 16S ribosomal RNA". It matches the Rfam family "Bacterial small subunit ribosomal RNA", at positions 524 to 776 of the family's 1533-position model. The record is from RNAcentral.
UACGUAGGGUGCGAGCGUUAAUCGGAAUUAUUGGGCGUAAAGGGCGCGUAGGCGGUUCUUCAAGUCUCUCGUGAAAUCCCUCGGCUUAACUGAGGACGUGCGGGAGAUACUGAAGGGCUUGAGUCCGGAAGAGGGUGGUGGAAUUCCCAGUGUAGCGGUGAAAUGCGUAGAUAUUGGGAGGAACACCGGUGGCGAAGGCGGCCACCUGGGCCGGAACUGACGCUGAGGCGCGAAAGCGUGGGGAGCAAACGGG